ACUAAAAUUAGUUAAAAAAUAACAUUAGUUUGUCAAAUUAAAAUUACCACUCUUAUGGUACUUUAG
Molecule: transfer RNA, 66 nt
Filed under: Cherax quadricarinatus
Lineage: Eukaryota; Metazoa; Arthropoda; Malacostraca; Decapoda; Parastacidae
Description: tRNA-Asp
Source: RNAcentral